AUAAUCUUUCUGAUUGGAUACAUUUUUUUGAUAUCCAUAGAAUUUUUUUCUCUCACAAAAAAAGUGCAGGAUGAUUAGUAACAUACCCAAUGACCUACUCAGACGUUGAUUUUAACUUAAUAAUUAAGUCAAAAAUUCUUUUGAAACAUAGUGACACUUGCAGGCUCUUGGUUCUUAAACAAGUAUAAUGGAAUGAUGUUCCCCCAUAGAAAGGAUGAGCCAUAGUUGAUGGUCUGCCAUCACUUUACAGCGGAAAGGGGUUAAGUUCCAAAACCCUCAUGUGAAAUUGUGAUAGGACAAAUAAGUCCAUUCUCAGUUUGACAAGAAUUUGAGUUGUCUAAAAUAAAGAAUAUCCUUUCUUUUAGCAUCCUAAAUUGCUUAACUGUGAGAGGCUUAAUGACUACAGAAAUAAAAAGGGUCUGAAUGUAACUUUCAUUCACUACGAAUAAAAAACAUUUUAUGAUUGUCUAGCAACUGAAUGCUAUUUUUCCCUUAAUGCCAUUUAACCUUUACUUGUUAGUCAAUAAGAAUCAACUCUACAACGAUUGGUACAUGCUGACAUACUUUUUUUUUUUCUUUUUUUGGGAUUCAGGUUAAAAGAAGCUUUGUAAUCAAGACCUUCUUAAUUUCAUACCUAAAUUACAGGGCUUUUCCUGCAUGUUGCCUUAGUAUAUUUUGUCCUACAUAUUUAAUAAUUCUUAUACUUCAGAAUAUUUUCAUGAUUAUUUUACAUAUUUUUAUAUAUGUAUCAGAUUAAAAAUCAGAGUCUUGACAAUGGCUGGUACUUUAUAGAGCUUCUACCAAGCACCUCACUAUUUAAAUGUGCAACUACCCUUCUCUGGUGAUUCUUACUGCUUUAUCACUCAUUACUCACACCAUUCCAUCUGGCUUACAGGCUAUAAAUGUUCGUUAUUUAUCACUGUCCAUUUUCAUGCACUAGACUAUGAGCUUAUGAGAUCAGCUUUUGUUUUUUUAAUCUGAGAGAUGAGUCUAGAGAAGAUCUGGUCCACAGAACGCUGUCCAUAAAUAUUUUUGAAUGAGUACAUCAGUGAUGUUUUGUAUUUGUUUUCCACCAGCACAUAGCUCAGAGUUGGAAGUUCUUAUAGCAAUAAAAACAUACCUGCUAGGGUGUGGGCCCUUGACAUAGGCCACCUCCCUCUGUGUCCUUGGGUUCACAGUACCUGACAUAGGGUCUUGCAUGUAUUCGUUAAUUGAUGAAUAUUUGCUUAACAAAAGAAAUGAAAUAAAAUAGAAACUAAAUUUACCUGCCUUUUCUAUACAGUAAAUCACUUGCUUUCUGUAUUUUCAAUAGUGAAUAAGGCUUAGCAGCAAAAACAAAUCUCUUUAGAGAAAAAGAGGAAUUAUUGAAAAUAUUUAAAUAUUUCACCUGUGGCCAUAAAUCUACAUGCCAUACUUUUUCAGACUCUUGUGAUGAUUCUUUAUAUUCAGUUAUUAUUGAACUGAAUUAUUAUGUUUAGGAAGAAAUUAUUCCUAGAUAAUUAUUAUAUUUAGGAAGAAAGUAUACAGUGCUCAAAAAUCCAUGCCUGAGUUUACAGGCUGAAAUACCUGAGCUGUCUAAUAACCAUUUGGAUGGCAGACUUAUUCCUGCUGUGGCACCUCCAGGCAUCUGGGGGCAUAAUUCCUCCAUCUCUCAUCACUGAUCAAGGCUCUUAACAGGAUCCAGCUGAAAGUGAGCCGGCCCCUGAGGCCCCAGGGAGGCAGAUGGAACAGAGGUGACCCGAAGGAUGGGCCAAACACAGCCUCCUUGUCGCUGUUCACUUGCAAGCUGUCAUGAAGAUCCCUCUCCAUGCAAAGAGAAAAACAGAACACCUGUGUAAGGGCCCCUUCUUUGUUGGUCAUAAACAAGUUUUCUUUUGACAGUUUCGGAAAACUGUUCUGCUCAGUGUGUCUGAGCCCACCUUGUUUCUGAAGUGGACGAAAUAGUGAACGAGUAGUGGAGAAAAGACUAGGCAUAUUUUGCUGGGUUGUGAUAGCAGGGGAGGAGUUAAGGAAAAGGAGACUGACCCUUGGCUUCUCUCGUGAGAUGAAGUGGAAUAAAAGAGAUGAGCUUAGCAUGGGUUAACAUUAGCUGAAUUGGUGACAUGAGAUGGGAAAUGAUCCCUGGCUAUUUACCUGAGAGAAGAGGUAAUCACCUGGUUACCUGGUUUUCCAUUCCACAUUUGACAGCAAAUGAAGGGUGAAGGAAAAAAGGAUGGAUACACUUUAUAGAAUUAUUUUGAGAAAGUUAAUAAUUUACAGGUGGGUGUUAAGCACAUUCUUUUUGGUUUUUAUUUUACCAGUGAUUAUUAUGGAUAAAGAAUUUUAGAAAAUCCUAUGAUCAUAUUUAGAAAAAGAUUAACUUCUUUCUAUGAGAGCAGAGCUAAUUUGAUAGUCUUAAUAAAACAUUAAAAACUAAUUUGAUGGUCUUAAAAUUAAUAGUGAAUUUUAUUACCACAACAAAUAUAAAUAAAAGUUUCCACAGGGUCAUCCUCAGAAAUCCAUCAGGGCUGUUUUCUGAUGUCGUUUUUUUUUUUUUUUUUUUUUCUUAACUGGGUAAACUUGGAUAAGUUGUUUUCAUCUUCUAAGCAGCAGAAUGGAGGAAAGUACAGUAUCUAAGAGUUGAUCAAGAGAAACUUUGAGACAAUACAUAUCAAGGAUUUAGAUCACUGACCAUCACAUAAAAGCCUCAAUAAACAUCUGUUAUUCUUAUUACCAUCAAGAAGAAAUAGAACUUUCUGCACUCUUUGUAGUGUUGGAUUUGUUUUGCAAACUGAUACUGAGAUGGUUAUUUCCCCAAAGAGUAUUAAACACCAAAACCUCUUUGUGCACAUAAUUAAUUAGUGAUCCAGUCUUUUCCAUCAGCUCUACGAUGUCUGGUUUCGCUCCAGUUUUAACAUCUUUGGAAUUGAAGUGCUGACUGUUCCUGGCCUCUUGCCAUUGCAGGCAGCCAGGUGGUGGUCAGAAGUUAGAUGUCACUGCCCAGUCAUUCCCAGUAGCAGAACCACACGAAAGUGGCUUGUCUGUGGUACAGUGGGUAAAAUGGUUACAAUAAUUGGAUGAAGAACAGGAGCCCCAGUUGUUACCCCAGAACUUUCUGUCCACACUGUCUGCUGAGUUCAGAAAGGCACUGGUUGGAGUCCCUGUUGUGGAUCAGUGGAAACGAAUCCGACUAGAAACCGUGAGGUUGUGGGUUCGAUCCCUGGCCUUGCUCCAGUGGGUUAAGGAUCCGGCAUUGCCAUGAGCUGUGGCAUAGGUCGCAGAUGCGGCUCGGAUUUCGCGUUGCUGUGGCUGUGGUGUAGGCCGGCAGCAACAGCUCCCAUUAGACCCCUAGUUUGGCAGCCUCCAUAUGCCACAGGUGCGGCCCUUAAAAAAAAAAAAAGAGAGAGAGGGAGAGACAAAAAGGUACUGGUGUCCAGACUGGCAGAAAGAGGGCAGUGGGGGUGGAAAAGCACCAGGAUACGCUAACAGAACAUUCCUUUAUCAAAUAUUAAAUAUCCAACACUUCUCUUAUCACCAAGAAUAAUACUGAGUCAAAAAGUAGUUAAAAAAAGAAAGCUUAGGAUAGUGGAUGAAGAUGGCUUUGGAAUACAUGUUUAUUUUUCUUAUGUUUUUUUCUAUAUUUUAUAUACACAAAACUGAUAUAUAAUACAAAUCUAUAUCUAAAUAUAUAUAAAAGUCCUCUCUAAAGUGUAUAACUAAAUUAUGCUUAAUAAAAGAUUUUGCUAUAAUUUAUGUAUUGGUGAUCUCUAGAAAUGUGUCUUAUCAAAAUACAGUGUUGCACCUUUACUUAGUUCUUAGCAACCACUUGAUUGAAGAUAUGGCAAAGGGUAACCAAUCAUUUAUGGUUCAUGUUAUUUUAAAUUAAAGUCAAAAAAUACUGAGUCAUCUCAAUAAUAAUUUCUACCAAUUUGUACAAUUAUUUUAAACACUGUUUGGCCCUGGCUUUGGUAAAUAAUGUAGGAGUUUAGUGGCUGAAUAUCUUUUGAUUUGAGUUAUUAAUGAGAAAUUAGGGAUUUCUACAUGAGGUGCUUCACCUGUGUUGGGCCUUGAGCCAUCUGGUUUUUACUGGGUGCUUCAAACUUAAUCUCUCCCCCACUGCAUCCUUCUAAGCCCUGGGAACAUCCUUGCUGGCUGGGCUCAAGGAGCACCCUUGCUCUCUGGUUGCCAGACUGAGUCUGGUGUGGGAGGAAGCUGAGGUCAGGGUCACUUCCCAGCACCUGGCCUUCCAUGUCCACAGAUCCAGUGCCUGCUUUUACUGCAGACCCAGUUGCUGGUGAGUGGACCUGUCCUGUGGGGGCAGUUCUCCCUCCUUGGUGCCUCUGAACCUAAAGGAAGUAGACCACUCACCCCUCCUUGCCCUGGAAAUGCUUCCUGGGACCCUUGUUGAUUUCCCUCAGCCAUGCCCAUGCAUUUGCAGAAUUAAUAAAUUAAUUACCUGUACCUAAAAUUUCCCAACCAGGAUGAAAGUAACUGAGUUACAUGUAGACAAUGGAAUAUUACUCAGCACUCAAAGAAAUGGGCUAUCAAGCUGUGAAAAGAUUGGGAGGAAUCUGAAAUGCAUGUGGUGAAGUGAAAGAAGGUAAUCUGAAAAGGCUGUAGAGGGAAUAGCUACAGCUUGAUGACAUUCUGGAAAGGCCACAACUACGGGAACAGUGACAGGAUCGCUGGUUUCCAGGAGUUGGGGUGAGGGAGGGAGGGGUUAAGAGGGAUAGUACAGAAGGUUUAGGGUAGAGAAAUGACAGUGUGAUACUGUGAUGGUGCAUACAUGUUAUCAAACUUGUGUCCAAACCCAUACAAUGUGCCAGAGUGAACUUAACAUAAACCAUGGACUUCAGGUGAUAAUGAUGCACCAGUGUAGGUUCAUCAGGUGUAACAAUGUACCAUCUGGUGGGGAUAUUGAUAAUGGGGGAGGCUGUGUUCUCGGCUCAAUUUUGUUACCAACUUUUACCUGGCCUAAAAAUAAAGUUCUUAAUUUAAAAAAUCUCUCAAUUAACCCAUAUGAAUAUGUAUAAUAUAUAUGACUAUAUAUACACAAGUAUAUAUGUUUAUAUACAGAUAUGUAUAAAUAUAUGUAGAAAAGCUUGACUCAUAGAGAAAUCUGUUAUAUUUGACAGCAUCUCAAUCUUAGCAUUAUUUCUGUGUAUCUCACUCAACAAUGCCAUCACUUUGCUAAGUAUAAUAAUAUUAUACUUACUAUAAUAAAAGACCUUUAUACCAAGCAUCUAGUGUAAUAAAGACCUUUAUACUAAGGUGACCUGAGUAUCUUAACCUUCAGCUUUACUUAGGCCAGUUCAUGUCUUUAUGUAAUAAGAUGUAACACUGAAACUAUUGGAUAUAACAUUUAAAAUUCAAUGCAAACAGUACAAAAAUGCUUGAAAGAUGACAUUAAGACUAUAUAUACUAUAGUAUAUAUAAUAUACCAGGCAUGGCUCAAAACAAAAAACUAACACUUCUGAAAUUAACAAAAACAAAGUUGAUAAUAUUGGCAACAUGCACUGCAGAGUUUUCCCAGCAAAUAUUUUCUUUUAUAGGAACACGUACUUGUCCUGCAGUGGGUUAUUGCAGAUUCCAUGCAAUUGAAACAUUCGUCAAAAAGCAAGGAAAUGGAGUACACAUAAAUAAGGCUGUCCUUUUGAAAAGCUGCAAGCUGGCUUAAAUUUAUACAUUAAAGAAAAAUAAAUUGAUGGGAUGGCCAGGGAAAUAAAAGUUCCCUUUCUUUCAUGUACCUUCUGGUGUUUUCAUAAUCUUACCAUGUCCUGAAAACUCCGCACUAUCCAAGUGGUAAUGGAUUCAUACAACAAACACCCAAGAAAUGGUGGAUUUCACAGUCUGUCUGAAGUCCUUUGUGGACACCAGCCUCCUGCCCCACUUUUGCACAAACAAAAGUUUGCUUUUUUUUUUUUUCUCCUGUUCCAUAUGAAAUAAUCAUCCACCAGAAGGAAAAAGUUAAAUUUAUAAAUGAACCUUUUAAUUUCACACCAAUUUUGAAAAAGAAACUUUUGAAUGAUUUCAAAAUUAUUUUGCAAAGGGUGUAUGUAUGCCUUAUAUGAAAUAUAAGGACUUAAUAUUACUUUUUUGAUAUGUUACUGCAAAAUAGUUACAUAUCCUUUAAUUUUCAUCUACCCCUAUGAUUGAUUAGGCUGGUUCAUGAAUUUGACCAUCCAAUAAAUGGUAAACUCUUUACAUUUUAUGUAGAAGUAUUCUCCAUAC
This 6210-nucleotide long non-coding RNA is filed under the name Sus scrofa (pig). Its description in RNAcentral is "lncRNA (ENSSSCG00000061819.1)". Lineage: Eukaryota; Metazoa; Chordata; Mammalia; Artiodactyla; Suidae. The record is from RNAcentral.